This 419-nucleotide ribosomal RNA is filed under the name uncultured eukaryote. RNAcentral describes it as "eukaryotic LSU rRNA". It matches the Rfam family "Eukaryotic large subunit ribosomal RNA", at positions 984 to 1391 of the family's 3401-position model. The record is from RNAcentral.
GGAACUUAUGAGAAAGUAGUUUUUAUCAGGUAAGCGAAUGAUUAGAGGCUUUUGGGGAAGAAACUUCCUCGACCUAUUCUCAAACUUUAAAUAGGUAAGAUUUUGAAGGAUACUUAAGUGAUCUUUCAAUCUCUUGAAUAUAAAGUUCUUAGUGGGCCAUUUUUGGUAAGCAGAACUGGCGAUGUGGGAUGAACCGAACCGUUAAGUUAAAGUGCCAAAUAAUACGCUCAUGAGAUACCAUAAAAGGUGUUGGUUCAUUUUGACAGCAGGACGGUGGCCAUGGAAGUCGGAACCCGCUAAGGAGUGUGUAACAACUCACCUGCCGAAUGAACUAGCCCUGAAAAUGGAUGGCGCUUAAGCGUAUAACUUAUACUUAACCCUUACUUGAAUUAUAAUAGCGAGUAAGGAGUAGGAGGGCG